RNAcentral lists this long non-coding RNA (733 nucleotides) under Trifolium pratense (red clover). RNAcentral's name for it is "long non-coding RNA (TPRA_LNC008991)". The record is from RNAcentral. Lineage: Eukaryota; Viridiplantae; Streptophyta; Magnoliopsida; Fabales; Fabaceae.
AGCAACGGUCUAGGCGGUUUAGGGCAGUUAAAGAUGCAUCUAAUGCGGUAGGUUGCGCAGCUUAAUUUUGAAUUUUGGGUUUUAAAUUGUAUAGAUGUUGUUUGAUUGCAUUGAUAGGUUGUUUCAACAAUGUUUUGGAUCAUUUUAGAUUCUUUAUCUCAAAUCAGGAAGAAACACAUACUUGAUACAGUGCUAAAUGUCAUUUCUUAACUCUUAUUUGACCUCACAUUAAAACUCUUAUUCCAUCUCAAGUUUGCAGAAUGAAGCCUCCCUCUUCCUUAGCAUUCCAUCUUCCCUUCUAUCAAAUCCUUUUUCCCCUUAGCACUUGCUUUCUUAUCAUUCCUCUCCACUUUCAUUUAAAUUACUUACCAGCUACCAUUUCAUUACAUCAUUUCUUUUGGUCAUGCGGCAUACAUUAGUGGCAAAUAAGUUACUCAACAAGCGACUCGGAAUUGAUAGUUUUGCAGCAGAUUAUCCAAAUUAUAUACCAGUUAUCUCUGAGCACUAAGACCAUUCUUAAUGCAGCAUCUUUCCAAUUUUAUGCUCAUAUUUAUCAGAUACUCUAAUGUUGCUGAAAUCUAGUGUCAUUUGGAUUUACUUUGACAAAGCAAUAGUAGUGCUACAACAUUGUAGUGUAGGGGAAUUAGAACAAAUCACUAUUUUAUGAAAUCCAUGAUUGACAACACUACGAGUAGUUCAUUCUUGCAUAUGCUCUGAUUAAUGUAUGUUACUG